RNAcentral lists this non-coding RNA (30 nucleotides) under Mus musculus (house mouse). The record is from RNAcentral. Lineage: Eukaryota; Metazoa; Chordata; Mammalia; Rodentia; Muridae.
UGAAAGACAUUCGAAGGCUGCAUCUUCACC